AUUGAACGCUGGCGGCAUGCCUUACACAUGCAAGUCGAACGGCAGCAUGGGUGCUUGCACCUGAUGGCGAGUGGCGAACGGGUGAGUGAUGCAUCGGAACGUACCCGGAAGUGGGGGAUAACGUAGCGAAAGUUACGCUAAUACCGCAUAUUCCGUGAGCAGGAAAGCGAGGGAUCGCAAGACCUCGCGCUUCCGGAGCGGCCGAUGUCGGAUUAGCUAGUUGGCGGGGUAAAGGCCCACCAAGGCAACGAUCCGUAGCGGGUCGGAGAGGAUGAUCCGCCACACUGGGACUGAGACACGGCCCAGACUCCUACGGGAGGCAGCAGUGGGGAAUUUUGGACAAUGGGCGCAAGCCUGAUCCAGCCAUGCCGCGUGAGUGAAGAAGGCCUUCGGGUUGUAAAGCUCUUUCGGCUGGGAAGAAAUCGCAUCUCCUAAUACGGGGUGUGGAUGACGGUACCAGCAUAAGAAGCACCGGCUAACUACGUGCCAGCCGCCGCUGUAA
Molecule: ribosomal RNA, 502 nt
Filed under: uncultured bacterium
Lineage: Bacteria
Description: partial 16S ribosomal RNA
Rfam family: Bacterial small subunit ribosomal RNA
Source: RNAcentral